AGCGUAGGCGGCUUUGUACGUUUGAUGUGAAAGUCCUGGGCUUAACCUGGGGACGGCAUUGAAUACGGCAAGGCUUGAGAUAUAGAGGGGAAGAUGGAAUUGUGUGUGUAGAGGUGAAAUUCGUAGAUAUACACAAGAACACCAGUGGCGAAGGCGAUCUUCUGGCUAUAAUCUGACGCUAAGGCUCGAAAGCGUGGGGAGCAAACA
This 207-nucleotide ribosomal RNA is filed under the name uncultured bacterium. RNAcentral's name for it is "partial 16S ribosomal RNA". It matches the Rfam family "Bacterial small subunit ribosomal RNA", at positions 568 to 774 of the family's 1533-position model. The record is from RNAcentral.